CCUACGGGGGGCUGCAGUGGGGAAUAUUGCACAAUGGGCGAAAGCCUGAUGCAGCAACGCCGCGUGAGUGAUGAAGGCCUUCGGGUCGUAAAGCUCUGUCCUAAGGGAAGCAUACUGACGGUACCUUAGGAGGAAGCCCCGGCUAACUACGUGCCAGCAGCCGCGGUAAUACGUAGGGGGCUAGCGUUAUCCGGAAUUACUGGGCGUAAAGGGUGCGUAGGCGACACUUCAAGUCAGAGGUGAAAGGCUACGGCGCGACCGUAGUAAGCCUUUGAAACUGUAGGGCUUGAGUGCAGGAGAGGAGAGUGUAAUUCCCAGUGUAGCGGUGAAAUGCGUAGAUAUUGGGUGCAACACCAGUCGCGAAGGCGGCUCUCUGGACUGUAACUGAUGCUGAGUCACGAUAGCGUGGGGAGCGAACACGAUUAGAUACUCCUGUACUC
This 440-nucleotide ribosomal RNA is filed under the name uncultured bacterium. RNAcentral describes it as "bacterial SSU rRNA". It matches the Rfam family "Bacterial small subunit ribosomal RNA", at positions 338 to 795 of the family's 1533-position model. The record is from RNAcentral.